This 465-nucleotide ribosomal RNA is filed under the name uncultured bacterium. RNAcentral's name for it is "partial 16S ribosomal RNA". It matches the Rfam family "Bacterial small subunit ribosomal RNA", at positions 340 to 795 of the family's 1533-position model. The record is from RNAcentral.
UACGGGGUGCAGCAGUGGGGAAUAUUGCGCAAUGGGGGAAACCCUGACGCAGCGACGCCGCGUGUAGGAAGAAGGCCUUCGGGUCGUAAACUACUGUCAGGAGGGAAGAAACUGGUGAGGGCAUCAUACACCUCAUCACUGACGGUACCUCCAGAGGAAGCACCGGCUAACUCCGUGCCAGCAGCCGCGGUAAUACGGAGGGUGCGAGCGUUAAUCGGAAUCACUGGGCGUAAAGCGUGCGUAGGCGGCGCUUCAAGUCAGGCGUGAAAGCCCUCGGCUCAACCGAGGAAUUGCGCUUGAAACUGGAGUGCUGGAGUCUCGGAGAGGUUGGCGGAAUUCCAGGUGUAGGAGUGAAAUCCGUAGAUAUCUGGAGGAACACCGGUGGCGAAGGCGGCCAACUGGACGAGUACUGACGCUGAGGUACGAAAGCGUGGGGAGCAAACAGGAUUAGAUACCCGGGUAGUC